AAAAAAAAAGUUACAGUAUGCUGCCAAAGCAGUGUUUGGUGAGAAAUUUAUAACACUAAAUGCGUAUUUUAGAAAAGAAGAAAGGUUUAAAAUGAAUGCACUAAGCUUUCACAUUAAGCGACUAGAACAAAUUAAACUUAAGGUAAACAGAAGGAUGAAAAAUGAAGAAGAGUAGAAAUUAAUGAAUCAGAAAAUGGAUCAUAAUAAUACAAUUUGAAAAAAAAUAGAAGCUAUAUACAUGACAAAAAACUUCAAUCUAAUUAAGGGUAAAAUUUGUUUGCAACGUGUUGCUAAAUCGAUUUCUCACUUACUAAGAAAAUCUAUAAAAUCCUAUCAUUUCUUUCGAAAGAGGAUGUUUGAAAGCAGCAGCAUAUUCAUGUUUAAAAUUGAAGUAACAUAGUCACAAAAAAAUAAAAUGGAAGAAGCAAACAAAAAAAAAGGAACAAAUUGAAAGGCUUUAUUGAUUGGUAAAAACACUUAAGAGAAUCAGAAAAAUAAACCAAGAGAAAUGAUAUUGUUCAAAAGUAAAAAAGAAAGACAUAUAUAAAUCAAGAGGGGAAAAAAGCUUUAAUCUCCUAAUUAGGAGGCAGAAAUAGAGAAAAAAUCCAACCAGAUGGACAGGGCUCUGUGGGCAGCCUUACUGUUGGAUUUGUGGCUGCCAAAUAGUGCAGGCCAUUUCCAGAAAUUGGGUUCUAUAUUGUAAGAAUUUAGUAUCUAGAGAUGUGACAGUAAUUAAAUCUCAGUUUUUGCAACAAGCCCUAUAUUCAGAGAGACUCCCUAGCUUCUGCAGAACACACUUCCAGCCACCAUAUUAAUAGUUGAGGGGUAUUUCUUCUAUUUCAAAAUGACAGCUGCAUUCCUCUUUGGCAAUUAGACUUUUAACUCUCUGGGGAAUGAAGACUCUUUGCAGAUUUGCAACAAUUACCCUAACUUGCCUUGUACUGCUUUACUGCUGCUUGGUACUGCUCCCAUUGAUCUGCUGGUCAGUUCUGCUACUCAUGUCUGAUGAAGUUAUUGUAAAAGACAGAAGAAAUGGAGAAGCCCAGUGUGUUGACUUAGGACAUUUCAUUUUCUCUUUAAAAGUAGAUAUCCUUGUAAUCUACGCCCAUCGUACUAUAACUUUUCCUUCUAUUUCUGUAACUUGUUAAACAAAGGCACCAUGUAUUGAAUGACUUUUCAUACCAAAUGAUUUUGAUAGACGCUCAUUCCUGAAGUACCUGCUGUCUUAAAUAUUUAAGGGCAAAAGAUUCUGAGAAGGUACGACCUUGGAAGAACGUCGUUCAAGCCUAAUGAAAAUGAGCACAUUCUUGAAAAUGCUACAGAGCGUGCACAGAAAUAUGCCUCAGAGACCAUCUUAGUCCACAAGUGCCUCCAUUGAACUCAUGCCUGCUUGCUCUAGACUCGCCGAUUAGAAUGCCCCACUGGAAACCUGCUCAGGUAACACCCUGGACCCCAAUAAAGGCUUUAGCCCACAUGGCUUUCUUUCUCCCUCUCUCUUGCUCGCCAUCAAGCAUGUGUGUCCUGGAUGGGCCGCCACUUUGCAUUUCCCCUUCCAGGCAUGCAGCCCUCUUAUCUCUGGGACCUGUAAGUAAUAAACUGCUUUUAUUUCA
This is a non-coding RNA of Chlorocebus sabaeus (green monkey), 1610 nucleotides long. The record is from RefSeq and is a predicted model, not a curated record. Lineage: Eukaryota; Metazoa; Chordata; Mammalia; Primates; Cercopithecidae.